AAAAUCGAGAUGUGUUGCCGAGAGGUCGUGAUUUCCGGGAUAAAUCCGAUUUCCUAGAAAUAUUCGUUAUAAAUCAAUAUUUGAUGGGAGAUUUGGUAUUUGAACUAGUAUAAUGAUUUAUAAUUUUUCUAAAUGUUUAUUAUCUCAAAAUUUAUUUAAAUAAUCCAUUUAAAUAAAUUUUUCUAAAAAUUUAGUUUAUUAUUUUCCCAAAAUAUUUAAAUAAAUCCCAAAAAUUUAUUUAAAUCAAAAUAAAAUUUUAUAAUUUAAGAUUUAACAACAAUCAAAUAUAAAAUGUAUAUAUAUGUAAAAAAAUGAAUUUAUGAAAUUUCUAUUUUAAUAUUUUGAACUUCUAUUGAAAAGAUUUUUCGAAAUUUGGGUAGAUUGUGAAUAUUUCAAUUGUAUGUUUAGGACUUAGGACCUAGUUUAAUAACAGUUUUUGGGAGUAAGGGGUUGAAUCUGGACAAUAUCAUACUUGGGGGACUGCAUGUGGCAAAACCGCAUGCAUGUUUGUGUAUCUGAUUCGUGAACAGGAGGGAAACCUCCUGUUCUUCUUCUUCUUCGUCGCAGGUUUAUUAUAGCCAAAAGAAAUUUCUUAUGUCAUUCGCUAAUCAGUCAAAGAUGCAUGUGAUAUUUGGAAGCAUUCUCUAAGGGGUGGAGGUGCUUACCAGUGGCGAAAAUGGAGGCCAGAAGUGGUAACAGUGGUUGUCGCUGCAACAGGAGGCCGGCAGGGGGGCUGACGGAGGUGGUAGUUCGGUGCUGUUGCCUUCGUUCUUCUUUCUUUUACCAGUAUUUCGAUGCAGGAAUUAUGGAGAAGCUUUUGGGGAUCGAAAUUAAUAGCAAUGACAGCUUAGGGAUGAAGUUCUUGGGUGGUGGAAGUGGGUGUUUGAAGGUUGC
This 894-nucleotide long non-coding RNA is filed under the name Lactuca sativa (garden lettuce). Its description in RNAcentral is "long non-coding RNA (LSAT_LNC002707)". The record is from RNAcentral. Lineage: Eukaryota; Viridiplantae; Streptophyta; Magnoliopsida; Asterales; Asteraceae.